RNAcentral lists this long non-coding RNA (225 nucleotides) under Homo sapiens (human). RNAcentral describes it as "non-protein coding lnc-HLA-F-1:1". Lineage: Eukaryota; Metazoa; Chordata; Mammalia; Primates; Hominidae. The record is from RNAcentral.
AUGAGCUGGGGAUGAGAGAAGUCGCAGGAAGAAUCCUCUGCCCGGAGCCUGCAGACUCCAACCCCUCAGCGUGAGGGUCAGGAGCCCCACAGUCCCCACAGCAGCAGGAAGCACUAGCUCCGGGUCCCGAGAAAGGAGGGCCCCAACUCCAGGAGAUGCGGCCCAGGAGCUGAGAACACGUCGGCUCCGGGAGAGGACAGGGCUUCAGGGACCUUAGGGCCGCCC